RNAcentral lists this ribosomal RNA (267 nucleotides) under uncultured Lactobacillus sp. Its description in RNAcentral is "partial 16S ribosomal RNA". It matches the Rfam family "Bacterial small subunit ribosomal RNA", at positions 567 to 833 of the family's 1533-position model. Lineage: Bacteria; Bacillati; Bacillota; Bacilli; Lactobacillales; Lactobacillaceae. The record is from RNAcentral.
GAGCGCAGGCGGUUUUGUAAGUCUGCUGUGAAAGCCCUCAGCUCAACUGAGGAAGUGCAGUGGAAACUACAAAACUUGAGUACAGAAGAGGAAAGUGGAACUCCAUGUGUAGCGGUGAAAUGCGUAGAUAUAUGGAAGAACACCAGUGGCGAAGGCGGCUUUCUGGUCUGUUACUGACGCUGAGGCUCGAAAGCAUGGGUAGCGAACAGGAUUAGAUACCCUGGUAGUCCAUGCCGUAAACGAUGAAUACUAGGUGUUGGAGGGUUU